This 46-nucleotide non-coding RNA is filed under the name Schistosoma mansoni. Lineage: Eukaryota; Metazoa; Platyhelminthes; Trematoda; Strigeidida; Schistosomatidae. The record is from RNAcentral.
GCACUGCUGAGGAGUCCUAAAAUAGGACGAAACGGCCGUCCAGUUC